GACGAACGCUGGCGGCGUGCUUAACACAUGCAAGUCGAACGGAAAGGCCCUGCUUUUGUGGGGUGCUCGAGUGGCGAACGGGUGAGUAACACGUGAGUAACCUGCCCUUGACUUUGGGAUAACUUCAGGAAACUGGGGCUAAUACCGGAUAGGAGCUCCUGCUGCAUGGUGGGGGUUGGAAAGUUUCGGCGGUUGGGGAUGGACUCGCGGCUUAUCAGCUUGUUGGUGGGGUAGUGGCUUACCAAGGCUUUGACGGGUAGCCGGCCUGAGAGGGUGACCGGCCACAUUGGGACUGAGAUACGGCCCAGACUCCUACGGGAGGCAGCAGUGGAGAAUAUUGCACAAUGGGCGGAAGCCUGAUGCAGCAACGCCGCGUGCGGGAUGACGGCCUUCGGGUUGUAUACCGCUUUCGCCUGUGACGAAGCGUGAGUGACGGUAAUGGGUAAAGAAGCACCGGCUAACUACGUG
RNAcentral lists this ribosomal RNA (468 nucleotides) under uncultured bacterium. RNAcentral describes it as "partial 16S ribosomal RNA". It matches the Rfam family "Bacterial small subunit ribosomal RNA", at positions 28 to 507 of the family's 1533-position model. The record is from RNAcentral.